Molecule: ribosomal RNA, 434 nt
Filed under: uncultured bacterium
Lineage: Bacteria
Description: bacterial SSU rRNA
Rfam family: Bacterial small subunit ribosomal RNA
Source: RNAcentral
CAGGCCUAACACAUGCAAGUCGAGCGCCCCGCAAGGGGAGCGGCAGACGGGUGAGUAACGCGUGGGAACGUGCCCUUUGCUCCGGAAUAGCCCUGGGAAACUGGGGGUAAUACCGGAUGUGCCCUGAGGGGGAAAGGUUUAUCCGGCAAGGGAUCGGCCCGCGUCCGAUUAGGUAGUUGGUGGGGUAAUGGCCCACCAAGCCUUCGAUCGGUAGCUGGUUUGAGAGGAUGAUCAGCAACACUGGGACUGAGACACGGCCCAGACUCCUACGGGAGGCAGCAGUGGGGAAUCUUAGACAAUGGGGGCAACCCUGAUCUAGCCAUGCCGCGUGGAUGAUGAAGGCCUUAGGGUCGUAAAGUCCUUUCGCCGGGGAAGAUAAUGACGGUACCCGGUAAAGAAGCCCCGGCUAACUCCGUGCCAGCAGCCGCGGUAAU